Molecule: ribosomal RNA, 497 nt
Filed under: uncultured bacterium
Lineage: Bacteria
Description: partial 16S ribosomal RNA
Rfam family: Bacterial small subunit ribosomal RNA
Source: RNAcentral
AUGAACGCUGGCGGCGUGCCUAAUACCUGCAAGUCGAGCGAACAGACGAGGAGCUUGCCCCUCUGACCUUAACGGCCGACGGGGGAGUAACACGUGGAUAACCUACCUAUAAGACUGGGAAAAACUCGGGAAACCGGAGCUAAUACCGGGUAAUAUAUUUAACCCCAUGGUUUAAUUGUUAAAAGCGGUUUUGCUUGUCCCUUUUGAUUGGUUCCGCGCCGCAUUAGCUAGUUGGUAAGGUAACGGCUUACCAAGGCAACGAUGCGUAGCCGACCUGAGAGGGUGAUCGGCCACACUGGAACUGAGACACGGUCCAGACUCCUACGGGAGGCAGCAGUAGGGAAUCUUCCGCAAUGGGCGAAAGCCUGACGGAGCAACGCCGCGUGAGUGAUGAAGGUCUUCGGAUCGUAAAACUCUGUUAUUAGGGAAGAACAAAUGUGUAAGUAACUAUGCACGUCUUGACGGUACCUAAUCAGAAAGCCACGGCUAACUACGUG